This 1348-nucleotide ribosomal RNA is filed under the name Salmonella enterica. RNAcentral describes it as "partial 23S ribosomal RNA". It matches the Rfam family "Bacterial large subunit ribosomal RNA", at positions 1498 to 2824 of the family's 2925-position model. The record is from RNAcentral. Lineage: Bacteria; Pseudomonadati; Pseudomonadota; Gammaproteobacteria; Enterobacterales; Enterobacteriaceae.
ACGGUUGUCCCGGUUUAAGCGUGUAGGUGUGUGUUCCAGGUAAAUCCGGUUCACUUUAACACUGAGGCGUGAUGACGAGGCACUACGGUGCUGAAGCAACAAAUGCCCUGCUUCCAGGAAAAGCCUCUAAGCAUCAGGUAACAUCAAAUCGUACCCCAAACCGACACAGGUGGUCAGGUAGAGAAUACCAAGGCGCUUGAGAGAACUCGGGUGAAGGAACUAGGCAAAAUGGUGCCGUAACUUCGGGAGAAGGCACGCUGACACGUAGGUGAAGUGAUUUACUCAUGGAGCUGAAGUCAGUCGAAGAUACCAGCUGGCUGCAACUGUUUAUUAAAAACACAGCACUGUGCAAACACGAAAGUGGACGUAUACGGUGUGACGCCUGCCCGGUGCCGGAAGGUUAAUUGAUGGGGUCAGCGCAAGCGAAGCUCCUGAUCGAAGCCCCGGUAAACGGCGGCCGUAACUAUAACGGUCCUAAGGUAGCGAAAUUCCUUGUCGGGUAAGUUCCGACCUGCACGAAUGGCGUAAUGAUGGCCAGGCUGUCUCCACCCGAGACUCAGUGAAAUUGAACUCGCUGUGAAGAUGCAGUGUACCCGCGGCAAGACGGAAAGACCCCGUGAACCUUUACUAUAGCUUGACACUGAACAUUGAGCCUUGAUGUGUAGGAUAGGUGGGAGGCUUUGAAGCGUGGACGCCAGUCUGCGUGGAGCCGACCUUGAAAUACCACCCUUUAAUGUUUGAUGUUCUAACGUGGACCCGUGAUCCGGGUUGCGGACAGUGUCUGGUGGGUAGUUUGACUGGGGCGGUCUCCUCCUAAAGAGUAACGGAGGAGCACGAAGGUUGGCUAAUCCUGGUCGGACAUCAGGAGGUUAGUGCAAUGGCAUAAGCCAGCUUGACUGCGAGCGUGACGGCGCGAGCAGGUGCGAAAGCAGGUCAUAGUGAUCCGGUGGUUCUGAAUGGAAGGGCCAUCGCUCAACGGAUAAAAGGUACUCCGGGGAUAACAGGCUGAUACCGCCCAAGAGUUCAUAUCGACGGCGGUGUUUGGCACCUCGAUGUCGGCUCAUCACAUCCUGGGGCUGAAGUAGGUCCCAAGGGUAUGGCUGUUCGCCAUUUAAAGUGGUACGCGAGCUGGGUUUAGAACGUCGUGAGACAGUUCGGUCCCUAUCUGCCGUGGGCGCUGGAGAACUGAGGGGGGCUGCUCCUAGUACGAGAGGACCGGAGUGGACGCAUCACUGGUGUUCGGGUUGUCAUGCCAAUGGCACUGCCCGGUAGCUAAAUGCGGAAGAGAUAAGUGCUGAAAGCAUCUAAGCACGAAACUUGCCCCGAGAUGAGUUCUCCCUGAGACUUA